GACGAGCGCUGGCGGCGUGCUUAACACAUGCAAGUCGAACGGAAAGGCCCUGCUUGCAGGGUACUCGAGUGGCGAACGGGUGAGUAACACGUGGGUGAUCUGCCCUGCACUUCGGGAUAAGCUUGGGAAACUGGGUCUAAUACCGGAUAGGAGCCAUCUUUAGUGUGGUGGUUGGAAAGUUUUUUCGGUGUAGGAUGAGCUCGCGGCCUAUCAGCUUGUUGGUGGGGUAAUGGCCUACCAAGGCGGCGACGGGUAGCCGGCCUGAGAGGGUGUACGGCCACAUUGGGACUGAGAUACGGCCCAGACUCCUACGGGAGGCAGCAGUGGGGAAUAUUGCACAAUGGGCGCAAGCCUGAUGCAGCGACGCCGCGUGGGGGAUGAAGGCCUUCGGGUUGUAAACUCCUUUCGCUAGGGACGAAGCUUUUUUGUGACGGUACCUAGAGAAGAAGCACCGGCUAACUACGUG
RNAcentral lists this ribosomal RNA (466 nucleotides) under uncultured bacterium. Its description in RNAcentral is "partial 16S ribosomal RNA". It matches the Rfam family "Bacterial small subunit ribosomal RNA", at positions 28 to 507 of the family's 1533-position model. The record is from RNAcentral.